This 637-nucleotide ribosomal RNA is filed under the name Flavobacterium sp. Ri2Pw_5843. RNAcentral describes it as "bacterial SSU rRNA". It matches the Rfam family "Bacterial small subunit ribosomal RNA", at positions 378 to 1016 of the family's 1533-position model. The record is from RNAcentral. Lineage: Bacteria; Pseudomonadati; Bacteroidota; Flavobacteriia; Flavobacteriales; Flavobacteriaceae.
GCAGCCUGAUCCAGCCAUGCCGCGUGCAGGAUGACGGUCCUAUGGAUUGUAAACUGCUUUUAUACGAGAAGAAACACUGCUUCGUGAAGCAGCUUGACGGUAUCGUAAGAAUAAGGAUCGGCUAACUCCGUGCCAGCAGCCGCGGUAAUACGGAGGAUCCAAGCGUUAUCCGGAAUCAUUGGGUUUAAAGGGUCCGUAGGCGGUUUGGUAAGUCAGUGGUGAAAGCCCAUCGCUCAACGGUGGAACGGCCAUUGAUACUGCCAGACUUGAAUUAUUAGGAAGUAACUAGAAUAUGUAGUGUAGCGGUGAAAUGCUUAGAGAUUACAUGGAAUACCAAUUGCGAAGGCAGGUUACUACUAAUGGAUUGACGCUGAUGGACGAAAGCGUGGGUAGCGAACAGGAUUAGAUACCCUGGUAGUCCACGCCGUAAACGAUGGAUACUAGCUGUUGGAAGCAAUUUCAGUGGCUAAGCGAAAGUGAUAAGUAUCCCACCUGGGGAGUACGUUCGCAAGAAUGAAACUCAAAGGAAUUGACGGGGGCCCGCACAAGCGGUGGAGCAUGUGGUUUAAUUCGAUGAUACGCGAGGAACCUUACCAAGGCUUAAAUGUAGAUUGACCGGUUUGGAAACAGAUCUUUC